AGUGGCAGACGGGUGAGUAACAACGUGGGUAACCUACCUCAGAGACUGGGGAUAACAGUUAGAAAUGAUUGCUUAAAUACCGGAUGAUUCAUAGUUAGAUAACUAAUUAUGCUAAAAGGAGCAUUUGCUUCACUUUGAGAUGGGCUUGCGUUGUAUUAGUUAGUUGGUGGGGUAAUGGCCUACCAAGACAACGAUGCAUAUCCGAGCUGAGAGGCUGAUCGGACACACUGGGACUGAGAUACGGCCCAGACUCCUACGGGAGGCAGCAGUGGGGAAUUUUGCGCAAUGGGGCAACCCUGACGCAGCAACGCCGCGUGCGGGAUGACGGCCUUCGGGUUGUAAACCGCUUUCAGCAGGGAAGACCGACGACGGUACCUGCAGAAGAAGCCCCGGCUAACUACGUGCCAGCAGCCGCGGUAAUACGUAGGGGGCGAGCGUUAUCCGGAUUCAUUGGGCGUAAAGCGCGCGUAGGCGGCGCGCCAAGCGGAACCUCUAACCUCGGGGCUCAACCUCGAGCCGGGUUCCGAACUGGCGCGCUCGAGUUCGGUAGAGGCAGGCGGAAUUCCCGGUGUAGCGGUGGAAUGCGCAGAUAUCGGGAAGAACACCGAUGGCGAAGGCAGCCUGCUGGGCCGACACUGACGCUGAGGUGCGAAAGCUAGGGGAGCGAGCAGGAUUAGAUACCCUGGUAGUCCUAGCCGUAAACGAUGGACGCUAGGUGUGGGGAGGAUCGCCUCUCCGUGCCGAAGCCAACGCAU
Molecule: ribosomal RNA, 755 nt
Filed under: uncultured bacterium
Lineage: Bacteria
Description: bacterial SSU rRNA
Rfam family: Bacterial small subunit ribosomal RNA
Source: RNAcentral